AUCCCGGGUUUCGGCACCA
RNAcentral lists this non-coding RNA (19 nucleotides) under Danio rerio (zebrafish). Lineage: Eukaryota; Metazoa; Chordata; Actinopteri; Cypriniformes; Danionidae. The record is from RNAcentral. RNAcentral also lists the same sequence under 3 other names.